Molecule: non-coding RNA, 25 nt
Filed under: Cricetulus griseus (Chinese hamster)
Lineage: Eukaryota; Metazoa; Chordata; Mammalia; Rodentia; Cricetidae
Source: RNAcentral
UGGACUGUAAAGGGUUUUUCUUAAA